CCAGACUCCUACGGGAGGCAGCAGUGAGGAAUAUUGGUCAAUGGGCGAGAGCCUGAACCAGCCAAGUCGCGUGAGGGAGUACUGCCCUAUGGGUUGUAAACCUCUUUUGUCGGGGAGCAAAAGCCGGACGUGUCCGUCUGUGAGAGUACCCGAAGAAAAAGCAUCGGCUAACUCCGUGCCAGCAGCCGCGGUAAUACGGAGGAUGCGAGCGUUAUCCGGAUUUAUUGGGUUUAAAGGGGGUGCAGGCGGAUUUUUAAGUCAGGGGUCAAAGCGUGGGGCUCAACCCCGUCCAGCCGUUGAAACUGGGGAUCUAGAGUGUGCGAGAGGUAUGCGGAAUGCGUGGUGUAGCGGUGAAAUGCAUAGAUAUCACGCAGAACCCCGAUUGCGAAGGCAGCAUGCCGGCUUCCGACUGACGCUGAAGCACGAAAGCGUGGGGAUCGAACAGGAUUAGAUACCCGAGUACC
This 464-nucleotide ribosomal RNA is filed under the name uncultured bacterium. RNAcentral's name for it is "bacterial SSU rRNA". It matches the Rfam family "Bacterial small subunit ribosomal RNA", at positions 331 to 796 of the family's 1533-position model. The record is from RNAcentral.